RNAcentral lists this transfer RNA (541 nucleotides) under uncultured Prochlorococcus sp. RNAcentral's name for it is "partial 16S-23S ribosomal RNA intergenic spacer". The stretch from base 212 to 284 matches the Rfam family "tRNA". The record is from RNAcentral. Lineage: Bacteria; Bacillati; Cyanobacteriota; Cyanophyceae; Synechococcales; Prochlorococcaceae.
CAGGGAGACAACAAAAUGUUUAAUAUUAUUAUUUUGUCACCUUAGGUCGAUCGGUAUCUCACGUUCUUAAUUCAUUAAGAAUUUCAUUUCCUAAGUUUUUCUAGGUCACACCCAUUAUUUUUCCUGGGCCAUUAGCUCAGGUGGUUAGAGCGCACCCCUGAUAAGGGUGAGGUCCCUGGUUCAAGUCCAGGAUGGCCCAUAUCUCUAUGUUGGGGGUAUAGCUCAGUUGGUAGAGCGCCUGCUUUGCAAGCAGGAUGUCAGCGGUUCGAGUCCGCUUACCUCCACUGAUUACCACCUCUUCCAUAAUCGGUAGAAAGGAAAUGUUUUGAGUUGUGAUCAAAUUCUGAAAGAAUCUAGCUUCCUAAUGAAAUCAUUAAGAUGCUGGAUUCAUUGAAUUAAUUUCAUUGUUUUCAGAGAACCUUGACAACUGCAUAGAUUAUUUUUAAAGACAAUAAGCAUCUUUAAUGAUGCAGAUUUAUUAUUUGUGCAUAUGCAUUAAUAACAAUUCUAUUAAGCUGAUGCUUCAAUUUUUGAAGUUAUU